UGGGGAAUAUUGCACAAUGGGCGAAAGCCUGAUGCAGCAACGCCGCGUGAGUGAUGAAGGCCUUCGGGUUGUAAAGCUCUGUCUUUUGGGACGAUAAUGACGGUACCAAAGGAGGAAGCCACGGCUAACUACGUGCCAGCAGCCGCGGUAAUACGUAAGUGGCAAGCGUUGUCCGGAUUUACUGGGCGUAAAGGAUGCGUAGGCGGAUUUUUAAGUGAGAUGUGAAAUACCCGGGCUUAACUUGGGUGCUGCAUUUCAAACUGGGAAUCUAGAGUGCGGGAGAGGAGAAUGGAAUUCCUAGUGUAGCGGUGAAAUGCGUAGAGAUUAGGAAGAACACCAGUGGCGAAGGCGAUUCUCUGGACCGUAACUGACGCUGAGGCAUGAAAGCGUGGGUAGCAAACAGGAUUAGAUACCCUGGUAGUCCACGCCGUAAACGAUGAGUACUAGGUGUAGGAGGUAUCGACCCCUUCUGUGCCGCAGUUAACACAAUAAGUACUCCGCCUGGGAAGUACGAUCGCAAGAUUAAAACUUAAAUGAAUUGACGGGGGUCAUAGCUGUUUUCCU
Molecule: ribosomal RNA, 564 nt
Filed under: uncultured bacterium
Lineage: Bacteria
Description: partial 16S ribosomal RNA
Rfam family: Bacterial small subunit ribosomal RNA
Source: RNAcentral